GCAGUUGGCCGGUCUGCCGCUUGCGCCUUUCGUGCGUAUGAGGAAAGUCCGGGCAACAGAGAGCAUCCCACUUCCUAACAGAAAGCCGUCCGCGAGGGUGGAGUAACGUAGAAGAAAAGAACCGCCGCAGCUUCCGGGCUGCGGUAAGGGUGAGAAGGUGAGGUAAGAGCUCACCGGUCUUGUGGCGACACAAGAGCCGUGCGUCUUGGGAGUUGUAAGGUCAUGUAAACCGGCGCUACGAGAGCUGCUCGCUCCAUGUCGGAGGGUGGACCGCUAAAGCCUGUAUGGUGACAUGCGGCUCAGAUAAAUGGCAGACACUUCUGAUUGAAGAAUGAAGAAUGGAAAAUGAAAAUUUUCCGUCCGGAUUUGUUCAAUACAAUGAGGUACAGAACCCGGCUUAUAGGCCGACUGUUUUA
Molecule: RNase P RNA, 416 nt
Filed under: Bacteroides sp.
Lineage: Bacteria; Pseudomonadati; Bacteroidota; Bacteroidia; Bacteroidales; Bacteroidaceae
Description: RNase P RNA component class A
Rfam family: Bacterial RNase P class A
About the family: Ribonuclease P (RNase P) is a ubiquitous endoribonuclease, found in archaea, bacteria and eukarya as well as chloroplasts and mitochondria. Its best characterised activity is the generation of mature 5'-ends of tRNAs by cleaving the 5'-leader elements of precursor-tRNAs.
Source: RNAcentral